GCCCAGCAUGGUGGCAUGUGCCUGUAGUUCCAGCUACUAGGGAGGCUGGGGUGGAAGGACUGCUUGAGCCCAGGAGCUCCGAACUGUAGUGCACUAUGCCAAUCGGGUGUCCGCACUAAGUUCGGCAUCAAUAUGGUGGCCUCCCUGGAGCAGGGAACCACCAGCUUGCCUAAGGAGGCACGAACCCGCCCAGGUCAGAAACGGAGCAGGUCAAAACUCCCAUGCUGAUCAGUAGUGGGAUGGCGCCUGUGAACAGCCACUGCACUCCAGCCUGGGCAACAUAGCGAGACCCCGACUCA
RNAcentral lists this signal recognition particle RNA (299 nucleotides) under Saimiri boliviensis boliviensis (Bolivian squirrel monkey). RNAcentral's name for it is "Metazoan signal recognition particle RNA (ENSSBOG00000003450.1)". It matches the Rfam family "Metazoan signal recognition particle RNA". Rfam says of the family: The signal recognition particle (SRP) is a universally conserved ribonucleoprotein. Lineage: Eukaryota; Metazoa; Chordata; Mammalia; Primates; Cebidae. The record is from RNAcentral.